CCCUGAUGGAAAAUUGGAUGGCAUUUUUACCCUUUGAUGGAAAAUUGGAUGGCAUUUUUACCCCUGAUGGAAAAUAUGAUGGCAUUUAUUCCAUCUGAUGGUAAAUAGGAUGGAAAUGAAAGAAUUUUGAUGGAAAUUGGACUUAAACAUUUUCUUUGAUGGAAAGAGGGAUGGUAUUUGGACUCUGUCAUUUUUCUUGAUGGAAAAAAACUUAGAAAUUUUUUCCAUCACAGGUGUCAGGUGCCAAUCUGUUUUCCUUUAACCUUUGUGUACAGGAUGUGACAUCAUAAAUGAACACAGAGUUUGAGGCCCAAUGAGGAGAGCACAUGUUUUUAUGCAUUCUUCUGCAAUAUCUCUAACUUAUAACAUAAAGAUAAACUACAAACUAUAAAUACAUAUUUUUUAUAUAAUUUAUAGCAAUUAUUCAAGAUUUAGAUAAUUA
Molecule: long non-coding RNA, 442 nt
Filed under: Mytilus galloprovincialis (Mediterranean mussel)
Lineage: Eukaryota; Metazoa; Mollusca; Bivalvia; Mytilida; Mytilidae
Source: RNAcentral